RNAcentral lists this long non-coding RNA (3166 nucleotides) under Triticum aestivum (bread wheat). Its description in RNAcentral is "long non-coding RNA (TAES_LNC013693)". The record is from RNAcentral. Lineage: Eukaryota; Viridiplantae; Streptophyta; Magnoliopsida; Poales; Poaceae.
UCGUCUUCUCGGCGGCUGCAACAGCGACCAUCGGCCGGCGCCUCUCCGAAUCGCCGGCCAUCGAUUCAGGCGAGCUUCCCGUUCCCUCCCUUCACUGCAAGCCCAAGUUUGCCGCUUCUAUUCCCCAGUUCGUUUCUUGACACUCUCUCUAUAUUCACGGUCCAACCCUAGCUCAGAUGAGCCGCCGCCGUCACCCGCCGUCGCUAGCGCCGGCGGCCCCACUGGACGACGAGGACCUCCUCCGCCUCCAUCAGCAGCCAUCCUCCCUCGCCCGCGCCUCCUCGGUCUGCACGCGCUGGCGCGGCAUCCUCUCCGACCCCCAAUUCCUCAAACGCUUCCGCAAACACCAUGGAAAACCUCUGCUCCUCGGCUUCUUCGCGGGGCCUGUUUUCAGAGACCACGUCUUCACUCCCGUCCCGGACUCGCCCGACCGCAUCCUUGUCGCACGCUUCUCCAUGACCAUGCCACAGAGCCACAACCCCUUCGACCGCUGGGACUUGGUCGGCUGCCGCCACGGCCUCGCCGUCCUGAUCAACAAGUGCCGGAAGGAGGUUGUCGUAUCGGAUCCCCUAACCGGCCGGCAGCAGUGCGUGCGUUUUCCACCGGGGCUCUGCGACGCCCUAUGGGGGAUUUUUUGUGACUGGCACGGAGCGGUGCUGUGCGCUGACGGCGAAGAUGGGCAUGUGCAUGGCGAUUGCCUAUCGAGCCCGUUCAAAUUGAUCUUGAUACGCAACGAAGACAUGCGGACAUUCGGCUCUCUCUACGACUCGGUGUCUCGUGUUUGGGGAAAUAUUUUCUCGGCGACUACAAAUAGUAUUUGUAGUAUAAGGUCCAGCAUUCUUGCCGGGAAUGCACUUUGCUGGUUGAUUUCGGGAGGUGCUGUCCUUGUGUUUGAUUUGGAAAUGCAGAACCUUAGCGUGAUCGAGAAGCCAGCAGAAAACCAUGUUAUCACUAGCUGGUGUUUGCAGCUAGUAUGGAUGGAGGAUGGCGGACUUGGCCUCGCUGUUUUGUCGGAGCUGACUGUCCAAUUAUGGGUGAGGAAAUCUAACCAUGAUGGUUUUGUCGGAUGGGUGUUGCUGCAGAAAACCAUUCCACUGGAGGGGAUGUUUAAACGGAGAAUGUGUAGUGACCGCACUCUUUGUGGGGUAUGAUGAGGACACAAAUGUGAUUGUUCUGACUACCAUGAUUGGCAACUUCAUGCUCCAACUUGACUCGAUGCAGCUCAAACAUAUUGUUGAAAGAAACAACAUAUGUUUCGACACCUUUUGGCCCUGUUUGGUUCGGCUAUGGAUUUCUAAAAGCAGAUGUGAAAAAUCUGAUGUGGAAAAACAGCUGUGGAAAAUCUGAUAUGAAAAGGAUGUAGGUCAUUUGGCAAACCAACUGAUACAGCUUUUUCAGAUUUUGGCCCACAGCGGAAUCAGAUUUUGGAAAGCACGUCCUGGCCUGCUUCCGCUUUUGGUUCAGAUUUUGACAGCGGAUUUUUGGGAUCGGAUUCUGCUGGGUUCGCCCUUUGGUUCAGAUUCUGCUGCGCGGUAGCGGAAUCCGUCGAUAAAAGCUGAACCAAACAGGGCCUUUAUCCCUACACGAAUUUCUACACUGCAGGUAAAAUACCUACCUAUCUACAUUUCAAAAGCAAAAAAGGGGUCCAUUUACUUUAUUUUGCUGGCCUUCAUUUGAGUUACUUUUGGUACUUGAUUGCUGAAAUAUUGUUCAUGUGAUUAAGGAUCAACAAGAUACAUAUAUAAAGAAUACAUUGAGUUAUUUGUUUCUUUGUAGGCCCGGCGAUCUCACAGUGAAGUAAUUUCUUAUUAUUACUUGGCCCAUUAAAGUUAGAACAGGAAUAUAGUUAUUGCUUUGUCGCCUGGCCAUUGCUAAAUGCUAACUUAUGGUUCUGUCCUUGUAUUGUUUUUUCAUCUGGAAACUGGCAGUAAUAUCGGUAGUGUGUGUGCUUAAGGAUUGAUUGCAGAUAUUUACGAACAGUUCUUCACUAACACAUCUUCUCUGAACAUGAAAAUUUCCAUAUCAUGUCCUUCGUUACUUGGUAAUGAUUAUUAUCCUUAUUCCUUGCAUUUGGGGAUAUAUGUGGCUUCAUUUACACAUUUCUUUCCUUGUCAGAAAAAAUAGCCUUUUGCCGUCAAGUUACAUUAUUACAUCUUAGUAUAUUACACGGAAAACAUAACUGUUUGCAGAUGUGACAUAUAUACUAUUGAUUCAGCUUUUCCAUUGGUUUAUUGGAUUCUUUUGCUUUAGGUAGGAGAAUUGCUGGUGGAGAUGGUGGAGCUGAAAAUGCAAACACAUGAGAUCUGCUAAUGUGCCUAAUGUGCUAUGUUGGUUGAACAGGUGGUGUAAAUUUAUCUUUUCUCCAUAAAACUUAGAUGCCGGAGUUUCUUGCUUUCUACUCCAUGAGCCUCUCAUGUGCACAUUAUACAGAAAAUAUAUUGAAUGGCUUGAUAAUCUAGAAAGUUCAGUAUUUGCCUCUGAUGGAGGCAUUGAGUCAACACUAGUGGUUGCCUCGAGAACAUGUCAACAGUAGAAGUUGAUGGCCCGUAGCGUAAACUACCAACUAAAUGUUAUACUAUUGCUAGGAUGAUAGCCAGUUUUGGGAUGAUUCAUGUUUGCAUAUUGUUGUAUGACCUCCAUAGUGUGGGUUGAUGCUUAUUAUUGCUGUAAUCAUGCAAAAUUAUGAGAUAUACCCUUUUUUCCACUCUACAUGUAUGAGAUAUAACUUGACCUGCUUCUUCGUGGGUGAGUUGUAUAAAUUGGUUUUGACAGAUGGCAUUUGUUGUUCUGCAGGUAUUUGGAGUUUUCUUCGGUUUGUUGAGGCGCAGAAAUGCGGAGAUGGCUCUUUUGCUGUAUGCCCUUCCGCUUUUGUGUGUUGUGGCUGCUAUUGUGGCCGGCACUGACGUUGACAAUAUAUGGAGCAGUAUGUAGGUUCUUCCGCUUUGUAUGAUGCGUCCUGUGAAGUGGACUUGUAGGAUUUAGUAUGUAAUUCGCUAACUUCUCUGAAUUACAACUAUCUACUAAUAUUUUCAGGGACUAUUAAUCCGGUUGCAUGCCUAGAUAGUGUUUGUGGAGUUGCUUCUGUUAGUGCCUGGAUCUGUCAGUGUAUUAACACCUUGUGGUUCAUUUGCUUUAUGUCUCAAUAACGCGGGCCUUUAUAUUUUUG